AGAAGAAUUACAAUGUUUCUAACACAAAGAAAGGUUAAAUGUUUGAAAUGAUGGAUAUCUCAGUUGCCUUAAUUUGAUCAUUAUAUGUUGUAUAGAUGUAUCAAAAUAUCACAUGUAACCCAAAAAUAUGUACAAACUACUAUAUUUCCAUAAAAGAGGAAAAAAAGCAACCAGAGAAUAAUAAUGAUGGGAAUAUUGUGGUAGUGGGGAGGGUGCUGUAGGAGUCCAAGAGCCUACAUGCUAUUGCUCUGCUGGAGGUGCCAUUGUAAUUGCUCCAGGUGCUGUAGCCAUUGAAGAGGGAACAAUCAGACUAGAGCUGUGAGGACUGAGGAGAGGUUGCUAAGGCUAAAGGUAGAGUUCCCAAGAAGACUCAGGAAUUUGAGAUGCCCAUGAAGCAGGGAGAUGGAGAGGUAGGAGGUCAGGGGAGAGAGAGAAAGAGAGAUUACUAAGGAACAGAGGCUCUUUCUCCUCUCCUACCUGUUUUUUGUUUGUUUUUGUUUUUGUUUAUGUUUUUUGCCAGAGUCUCCUACUGAGAAGCCAAUUGACAGAGGAGUCUGGGAAAUUCAGUUUUCACCGUCUCUCCCAUCCUUUACAGAGCAGAGUAAGAGGCAUUAAAAAAUUGCCUAAUAUUAAAUCAAAUUUGUAUUGCUAAAAUAAAUAUUGUUAUAAUACAUUUUAUAAUAUUUUCUUUAGGAUUUCUUUAUCUUUUGUACCUACAAUCACAAAUGAGAAUGCCCUGUAAUUUUCCUACCUUGUUUGUGACUCUUUGGCUUGAAAAUAAAGGUUUCUCCAACUAAUAUAAAUGAGAAUGAUGAAGAGUAGCCCCUCUUUUUAUGUUCUCUGGAAUAGUGUAGAUAAUUUUGAAACUGCAAAUUUUGAAAUAUUCCUUGAAUAUUUGAUGAAAUGCUCAUAGACUCAUCAGGUACCAGUGUUUUACUGAAGUAAGAUUUUUACCUUCUGAUUCAAUUACUUUAUUUUUCAUAUUUUAAACCUGCUUGCUUAAUGUAGACAAUAACCUUCACUCCUAAUAUCCACUUAUUUUAAUCUCUACAGCAUCUGUGGCUAUAUAAAAUGUAUUCCUGACAUUAUUAAUGUCUUCAUUCAUUUUCUUGAUAAAUUUUGUAAGUAAUUGUCUGUUUUAUUAAUCUCUUUACAAUCCGUUUUUCACUGUUGAUUACCUCUAAUUUGUAUAAUUGAAUUACAUAAUGUUAUUAAAAAUUGUUCUUAUUUUAUAUUUUCACUUAUAUUUUAUUUUGCUCAAUUUUGUUAUUCUCUUAUAACUUGUUAAAUACAUUGUUCACUAAUUAAUUUUAGUCUUUCUUUGUAUAAAAUUAUUUUCUUAUAUUUGUGCUUAGUGGCAACCCACAACUUUUUCUCUUGUAUAUAUUUUUUAAUUUCAAAUAUGACUUCUUAUUUGAAGCACGAGAUGUUAAAUCUAUGUUUUAAAAUUAUUUUGUUUUAAUAUUACAAGUUUGUUGGAAUAUUAUGUUAUGUUCCCUAAUUUGGGGGUGUCAUGUUCCAUAAAAAUUAAGCUUUGUUUAGGUCAUCAUGGUGUACUGAAUCGUUUUUGAGAACUAAAAUUUUGUUUCAUUAUUAAGUGAACUGCUUCAUUUUUAUUUUGGCUUUUUUGCCAUAGUAUCAAUAUAUCUCUCAUAAAAUAUUGUUUAGCAUUAUCCCAACAUACACAUGUUCACACACUUUAGCUUUUAUUAUUUCUGUAACCUUGGCUUUAUAUGCAUUCCAUGUAUAACAUAUAGAUGAAUUUUUAAAAUUAAUUCUCACAGUCUGUGUUUAGAAUUGCAUGUGGAUAUGUUUUCCUACAUUAUUAUGAUUUUAAUUUCUUUUUGUGUCUUUUUUUAUUUUUUAUUUGAAUGCUUUCUUUUUCUUUCUUUCCUUCCCUUUAACUCUUUCUUUCCCUUCUACUUUUCCUUCUAUUUGUACAGAAGUUUUUGACACCAUGGCUAGUUUUUUAGAAGUCAAGAUAUUUUAAUAUGUGUAUAUAACAAUGAAUUAUCUUUACCCUACUUUUGAAUAAUACAAAAGUUUCCAAAUUAUUUUAAUCAAAUUUCUAUUUUUCCACAUAUUUCAUCCACUAAAUAAUUGAAGCCUUUAUACUUUUGUAUCAUGUAUUGUUUUAAUGUACAAGCACUUUUUGUGGAGAUUUAUCCAAAUAUUGAUAGGAUGUCCUUGCUCUUGUCUGCCUUUUUUUUUUUUUUUUAAUUCUAAUGAAGUACAUCCUCUAUAGCAGCAGUCCCCAACCUUUUUAGCACCAGGAACCGGUUUCGUAGAAGAUAAAUUUUCCACAGGUGGAGGAGUGGGGUGGGCAGGGGGUUGUUUUGGGAUGAAACUAUUCCACCUCAGGUCAUACGGCAUUAAGGCAUUAGUUAGAUUCUCCUAAUGAGAAUACACAACCUAAGUCCCUCUUAUGCACAGUUCAAAAUAGGGUUCACGCUCCUAUGAGAAUCUAAUGCCAUCACUGAUCUGACAGGAGGUGGAGCUCAGAUGGUAAUGCUUGCUGGUCCCUGCUUACCUCCUGCUAUGUGGCAGGUCCUAAAGAGGCCACCGACCAGUACCAGUCUGCAGCCUGGGGACUGGGGAUUCCUGCUCUAGAGUUUUCCUAAUGUGCAACUUUUGGAUAUAAAUGCAGAUUUUGUUUUACCUAAAAUGUUUUCAUUCUUCCUAAUGCCAUGAUAAGCAAAACACCGAAUCUCAAUAUCUGAUACCAUGGAAGUUUAUUUCUCAUUCAUAUUGAAUAAAAGGGGGAAUUCAGCAGGCUGCCUCCAUUCAGUGAUUUGGGUAUCCCCUCUUAUCCUGUGUCUCUGACACCCAUUAAGAAAUCUAAAUUCUUCACUUUGCGACAGCAUAGGGUAAGAAGAAAAGAGAAGGGUUAUUCAGUUACAUAUUUUUCCAGGAAGAGAGACAGAAAGAAAGAGAGAAAAAGGAAAGAAUGUGGAUAGGGUACACACAAGCCCUAUCUACAUUCUAUUGCCCAGAAUUAAAACAUGAUUCCACCUAAUUUCAAGCAAGUGUGGGAGAAAUAAUCUAAGUAUGUACCAGAAGGAGAAGGAACAAUGUUUUGGUGAGAUCAGAGCAUUCCCUGCCAGACCUUUCUUUUAGACAGAUAAGUACGUGUUUAGAAUCUGAGGUUGAGAGUUAUUUCUCUCAGAAUGUUGAAAAUACUAUUUCAUUGUCUUAUUUUCCCAAUAUUAUCUUUUCCCAAUAUCAACUGACUUGGAAAAGUCAGUUGAUAAGCUAAGUGCCUUUUAGGUGGUUCACAAGUUUUCUUUGAUAUUUUAAAUCUCUUUGUCUAUCAGACAUACUGGGGGAAUUGUUUUAGUACUUUAAUGUGUACUUUCUCUGUCUCUCUCCUUGUCUCCUGCUCUCUCUCCUUUUCUCUCUCUCUUUUUUUUCUCUCUCUCUACGCUACACACACAAUUCGUCUAUAUGUAUACAUAUACACACAGUAUACAAAUACUCAAUUUGUUUUUGUAUAUACCUCCAUAUUCUUGGGAAGAUAGAUUUAAGAAAUAUUUUCCAUCUCCUCCCUCAGCUGCCCUGUGAUAAUUAGAUUCUUU
Molecule: long non-coding RNA, 3575 nt
Filed under: Homo sapiens (human)
Lineage: Eukaryota; Metazoa; Chordata; Mammalia; Primates; Hominidae
Description: non-protein coding lnc-DMRTA1-15:1
Source: RNAcentral